ACUCUCUGGUCAUGUACUGACGCUCGAGAGACCAAAACGUGGGGAGCAGAACAGGAUUAAAUCCCCUGGUAGUCCCCCCCUAAAACAUGUAGUGUUACUUGUGGGGGGUUUCCGCCCUUUUAUGCUGCAUCAAACGUGUUAUUCACUCCCCGGGGAGAAUAGUGUCACAAUACUGACUCUCAGGAGUUUUGAGGGAGGCCCACACACGCUGUAGAACGUGUGUUUAUUUUCUGCACAACGCAAAAAACUAUACACCGUCGUGACGUCUUCUGACAACAAUAGAGAUAGGGCUGCUCCUUCGAGAGCAGAAUGACAGGUGCUGCAUGGUUGUCGUCAGCUCGUGUCGUGAGAUGUUGGGUUAAGUCCCGCAACGAGCGCAACCCUUGUUCUUAGUUGCUACCCAUCAGCUCUCUACUCUAACGUGACGUGACGUGACAAACGAAAGUGAGGGAUGACAUCACGUCCUCUCGUCCCUCAUCGUAUGAGCUGCGCUACUCAUAUACUACUCUGGGACAGAAGGAUCGCGCACCCGAAGCCGCGAGGCUAAUCUCAUAACACCAGAUCUGUUUCCAGAUCGCAUUGCUACUCCUGCGACUGCGCUGGCGUGGGACUGGAUUCUCUUCGGAGGAUCAGAUCGUCAUGCUGGAGUUCGAUUACCGUGGCUCGUGGUCUUGGACGACCCCGUCCCGUCAUGGCGAGUGGGGUUUCGCUAACAACCUGAGAGUUCGCGUGAGCGUUACCGGUGUGGGAGCUCCCCCCCCGAGGGAUGCGAUAACUUGGGU
RNAcentral lists this ribosomal RNA (782 nucleotides) under Bacillus sp. LL23. RNAcentral describes it as "partial 16S ribosomal RNA". The stretch from base 1 to 640 matches the Rfam family "Bacterial small subunit ribosomal RNA", at positions 724 to 1533 of the family's 1533-position model. Lineage: Bacteria; Bacillati; Bacillota; Bacilli; Caryophanales; Bacillaceae. The record is from RNAcentral.